This 212-nucleotide long non-coding RNA is filed under the name Olea europaea (common olive). Its description in RNAcentral is "long non-coding RNA (OEUR_LNC002865)". The record is from RNAcentral. Lineage: Eukaryota; Viridiplantae; Streptophyta; Magnoliopsida; Lamiales; Oleaceae.
UAUGAGCAAUGUUGAUGUCAACACUAACAUUGAUGUUUGGCAUUGUCGAUUAGGGCGUAUUCCUACUUCUAAACUGUCACUUUUACACAAGAUUGUACCUGCAAUCACUUUCAGUAAACAAUUGCACUGUACAAUAUGUCCCAUGGCCAAGCAACACAGGUUACCUUUCUCUCAUAGUGAAACUAAAGCUUCCAAAAUGUUUGACCCGAUUC